GUAGGGUGCGAGCGUUAAUCGGAAUUACUGGGCGUAAAGUGUGCGCAGGCGGCCGAGCAAGUCGAGUGUGAAAGCCCCGGGCUUAACUUGGGAAUUGCGCUCGAAACUACUUGGCUGGAGUGUGGCAGAGGAAGGUGGAAUUCCACGUGUAGCGGUGAAAUGCGUAGAGAUGUGGAGGAACACCAAUGGCGAAGGCAGCCUUCUGGGCCAACACUGACGCUCAUGCACGAAAGCGUGGGGAGCAAACAGGAUUAGAUACCCUGGUAGUCCGCGCCCUAAACGAUGACGACUAGUUGUUGGAGGAGUUAAAUCCUUUAGUAACGCAGCUAACGCGCGAAGUCGUCCGCCUGGGGAGUACGGUCGCAAGAUUA
Molecule: ribosomal RNA, 371 nt
Filed under: uncultured bacterium
Lineage: Bacteria
Description: bacterial SSU rRNA
Rfam family: Bacterial small subunit ribosomal RNA
Source: RNAcentral